This 1372-nucleotide ribosomal RNA is filed under the name uncultured bacterium. RNAcentral's name for it is "bacterial SSU rRNA". It matches the Rfam family "Bacterial small subunit ribosomal RNA", at positions 28 to 1381 of the family's 1533-position model. The record is from RNAcentral.
GAUGAACGCUGGCGGCGUGCCUAAUACAUGCAAGUCGAGCGAACGGACGAGAAGCUUGCUUCUCUGAUGUUAGCGGCGGACGGGUGAGUAACACGUGGAUAACCUACCUAUAAGACUGGGAUAACUUCGGGAAACCGGAGCUAAUACCGGAUAAUAUUUUGAACCGCAUGGUUCAAAAGUGAAAGACGGUCUUGCUGUCACUUAUAGAUGGAUCCGCGCUGCAUUAGCUAGUUGGUAAGGUAACGGCUUACCAAGGCAACGAUGCAUAGCCGACCUGAGAGGGUGAUCGGCCACACUGGAACUGAGACACGGUCCAGACUCCUACGGGAGGCAGCAGUAGGGAAUCUUCCGCAAUGGGCGAAAGCCUGACGGAGCAACGCCGCGUGAGUGAUGAAGGUCUUCGGAUCGUAAAACUCUGUUAUUAGGGAAGAACAUAUGUGUAAGUAACUGUGCACAUCUUGACGGUACCUAAUCAGAAAGCCACGGCUAACUACGUGCCAGCAGCCGCGGUAAUACGUAGGUGGCAAGCGUUAUCCGGAAUUAUUGGGCGUAAAGCGCGCGUAGGCGGUUUUUUAAGUCUGAUGUGAAAGCCCACGGCUCAACCGUGGAGGGUCAUUGGAAACUGGAAAACUUGAGUGCAGAAGAGGAAAGUGGAAUUCCAUGUGUAGCGGUGAAAUGCGCAGAGAUAUGGAGGAACACCAGUGGCGAAGGCGACUUUCUGGUCUGUAACUGACGCUGAUGUGCGAAAGCGUGGGGAUCAAACAGGAUUAGAUACCCUGGUAGUCCACGCCGUAAACGAUGAGUGCUAAGUGUUAGGGGGUUUCCGCCCCUUAGUGCUGCAGCUAACGCAUUAAGCACUCCGCCUGGGGAGUACGACCGCAAGGUUGAAACUCAAAGGAAUUGACGGGGACCCGCACAAGCGGUGGAGCAUGUGGUUUAAUUCGAAGCAACGCAAAGAACCUUACCAAAUCUUGACAUCCUUUGACAACUCUAGAGAUAGAGCCUUCCCCUUCGGGGGACAAAGUGACAGGUGGUGCAUGGUUGUCGUCAGCUCGUGUCGUGAGAUGUUGGGUUAAGUCCCGCAACGAGCGCAACCCUUAAGCUUAGUUGCCAUCAUUAAGUUGGGCACUCUAAGUUGACUGCCGGUGACAAACCGGAGGAAGGUGGGGAUGACGUCAAAUCAUCAUGCCCCUUAUGAUUUGGGCUACACACGUGCUACAAUGGACAAUACAAAGGGCAGCGAAACCGCGAGGUCAAGCAAAUCCCAUAAAGUUGUUCUCAGUUCGGAUUGUAGUCUGCAACUCGACUACAUGAAGCUGGAAUCGCUAGUAAUCGUAGAUCAGCAUGCUACGGUGAAUACGUUCCCGGGUCU